RNAcentral lists this ribosomal RNA (446 nucleotides) under uncultured Novosphingobium sp. RNAcentral describes it as "bacterial SSU rRNA". It matches the Rfam family "Bacterial small subunit ribosomal RNA", at positions 57 to 550 of the family's 1533-position model. The record is from RNAcentral. Lineage: Bacteria; Pseudomonadati; Pseudomonadota; Alphaproteobacteria; Sphingomonadales; Sphingomonadaceae.
GCAGUCGAAACGAACCCUUCGGGGUGAGUGGCGCACGGGUGCGUAACGCGUGGGAACCUGCCUUUAGGUUUGGAAUAACAGUGAGAAAUCGCUGCUAAUACCAAAUAAUGUCUUCGGACCAAAGAUUUAUCGCCUUUAGAUGGGCCGCGUUGGAUUAGCUAGUUGGUGGGGUAAAGGCUCACCAAGGCGACGAUCCAUAGCUGGUCUUAGAGGAUGAUCAGCCACACUGGGACUGAGACACGGCCCAGACUCCUACGGGAGGCAGCAGUGGGGAAUAUUGGACAAUGGGCGAAAGCCUGAUCCAGCAAUGCCGCGUGAGUGAUGAAGGCCUUAGGGUUGUAAAGCUCUUUUACCAGGGAUGAUAAUGACAGUACCUGGAGAAUAAGCUCCGGCUAACUCCGUGCCAGCAGCCGCGGUAAUACGGAGGGAGCUAGCGUUGUUCGGAA